GAUGAACGCUGGCGGCGUGCUUAACACAUGCAAGUCGAACGAAGCAUUUGCGACAGAUUUUUUCGGAAUGAAGUUGCUUAUGACUGAGUGGCGGACGGGUGAGUAACGCGUGGGUAACCUGCCUUGUACUGGGGGAUAGCAGCUGGAAACGGCUGGUAAUACCGCAUAAGCGCACAAUGUUGCAUGACAUGGUGUGAAAAACUCCGGUGGUAUAAGAUGGACCCGCGUCUGAUUAGCUAGUUGGUGAGAUAACAGCCCACCAAGGCGACGAUCAGUAGCCGACCUGAGAGGGUGACCGGCCACAUUGGGACUGAGACACGGCCCAGACUACUACGGGAGGCAGCAGUGGGGAAUAUUGCACAAUGGAGGAAACUCUGAUGCAGCGACGACGCGUGAGUGAAGAAGUAAUUCGUUAUGUAAAGCUAUAUCAGCAGGGAAGAUAGUGACGGUACCUGACUAAGAAGCUCCGGCUAAAUACGUG
RNAcentral lists this ribosomal RNA (481 nucleotides) under uncultured bacterium. Its description in RNAcentral is "partial 16S ribosomal RNA". It matches the Rfam family "Bacterial small subunit ribosomal RNA", at positions 28 to 507 of the family's 1533-position model. The record is from RNAcentral.